This 73-nucleotide transfer RNA is filed under the name Ailuropoda melanoleuca (giant panda). It matches the Rfam family "tRNA". Rfam says of the family: Transfer RNA (tRNA) molecules are approximately 80 nucleotides in length. Their secondary structure includes four short double-helical elements and three loops (D, anti-codon, and T loops). The record is from Rfam by way of RNAcentral. Lineage: Eukaryota; Metazoa; Chordata; Mammalia; Carnivora; Ursidae.
ACCUGGUUGGCUCAGUUGGUACAGCAUGAGACUCUUAAUCUCAGGGUUGUGAGUUCGAGCCCCACAUUGAGUA